RNA transcript from Malania oleifera, 5706 nucleotides. It is a transcript of the gene named cell division control protein 48 homolog C-like, with no coding region annotated. The record is from RefSeq and is a predicted model, not a curated record. Lineage: Eukaryota; Viridiplantae; Streptophyta; Magnoliopsida; Santalales; Ximeniaceae. The transcript is spliced from 5 exons.
CUGAACGGCGACAACAAACCAGCCCCACCCACGAGCCAUAGACCACCCAUUGCCCCGGCGCACUCUACCCCCCGCGCCGCCGCCGCCGCCGCCGCCGAAAGAAGGAGAGAGAGGGAACGAGAGAGAUGGGAAAGAGAGGAGGGGUUCGUUCAUCCUCAGGGGGGAGUAGAAACGUUCUGCUCCGUCGUCUGGAAUCUUCCUUUAAGAACGGCAACUAUGGAACCCUCGACCAAAUCAUCAACCGUCUCCGUUCGAACUACCCCGACUACGCCCGAACAAAGCAACAAGUCCUCGCCAGGCAGGUCCAACGUGCCCUUGAAGAAUCUAAACACUUCCUAAACAACAACAAUAACAAGCAUAAGAGGAACAAAUCCCACUCUCCUUCUCAAACCCUAGUCUGCGCCGCCGAUGAUGAAGAAGAAGAAGAAGAUGAUGAUGAUUGCCAAUUCCGAAGCCCCACUCCGAAGAAGCUGAAGAAGAGUGAUGAGUGAACAGAGAUUGAUAUAUAGAGAGAGGCUCAGCAUCAUCGAAGGCGGCAUAUGGAGCAGGAACGUCCGUCGACGGCUACUUCGUCGUCUUUAUCAUCGUCCUCUUCUGACGAUGAAACGGAUGGUGCCGUAUCGACGUCGGAGGACGCGAUAUAUGGCGAGAGACUGGAGCCGGAGUUCAUUUUGAUGAGGUCAACGCUGCGCUCGAGUUAUAGCAAAGCAAAGCCGGCGGUGGAAUCGAAACCGGAGGAGAAGAAUCUUGAGAUGGAGGAGGUUGCUCAGAAGGCCAAGAAGAUCAAUUCGGUUGAAGGAGAGAGAAUUGAAGGCAUUGGGACGGAUUCGAAACCAGAAGUGAAGGGUUCCGGCGUUGGAGGCAAUGGUGUUGGUGGCGGUGGUGAGGUGAAGGGGAAGGACGAGCCAAUGUUCAGGGAUUUGGGUGGAAUGGGAGGGGUGGUGGAGGAGUUGAAAAUGAAUGUUGUUGUUCCGUUGUACCAUCCGCGACUACCUCAGUGUCUCGGAGUUAGGCCGCCAGUGGGGAUUUUAUCGCACGGUCCACCUGGGUGUGGAAAGACGAAGCUGGCUCAUUCCAUUGCCAAUGAGACUGGAUUUCCAUUUUAUAAGAUUUCAGCUACUGAAGUGGUCUCUGGUGUUUCAGGUGCAUCUGAAGAGAAUAUUUGAGAGCUUUUCUCAAAAGCUUACAGGACUGCUCCUUCAAUUGUAUUUAUUGAUGAGAUUGAUGCAAUUGCUUCAAAAAGAGAAAAUCUACAGAGGGAGAUGGAACAACGCAUAGUGGCAACUAAUGACCUGCAUGGAGGAAUCACACAGACUUGUACAACCAGCUGAUAAAGAUUUGAAUUCAGAAAGCUCUCAUCACGGACGUGGCUAUGUACUUGUGAUUGGAGCUACCAAUAGAAUCGAUGCUGUUGAUUGUGCAUUGAGGAGGCCAGGAAGAUUUGAUCUUGAGAUUCUGUUGGGUGUACCAGAUGAAAAUGCAAGAUUUGAUCUUGAGAUUCCGUUGGGAUUUGUUCUUAGCUUGUUUCUUCAUUGUAUAGCAACUGGAAAACUGUAGCCAUACCAAACAGCCCCUUUUUGUUGGACAUUCCUCCUGGCAGAGAAAAGGCCUUGUGAGUGCAACAAAAAAACUGAAGUUGCCUUGUUGAUCCUUUGUUUGGUUACCAUUUCAUGCUACCGACAUUUGUCUAUGUUCUAUUUAUCUGGACUUUGAAGUACAUUCAAUGUUGCUAUGGUCACAGUUUUGAAGAAUGUUACCAAUGUGAUAACUGCACUCGGCGAAAUGUAUAUGUUCAAUAAGCCCCAUGACAACAAAGUUUGGACUGCUUUGUUCUUAAUGAUCAUUUCUGCAAUUACUGGAGGAAUUACUGAUCUAUCUUUUCAUGCUGUUGGCUAUACAUGGCAAAUUAUUAACUGCUUCUUAACAGCAUCAUACUCUAUUUUUGUGUCUUAGUGGAUUGACAAGGUAUCAAAAACUGCACAUCUCCAUAAAGCACCAUCCUUUCUGGUUUUGCCAAAACCUUAUUGAUUACUUUCCGGAAUUCCCCACAUCCUGCAGGGCCACCAGGCUUCACCAAAACACGAGAAGAGAACACACCAUGAAAAGUUGUUGGUUUAGGAAAGCUUGUAUUUGCAAUAUUUUGUCUUUUUAUUUCUUUGUUUUGUUCCUGGAGAUUUGGUCAAUAUGGUAAAAUAGAUUGAGUCUUCGUUGGUUAUUAUUGUGGUUAGGAGAUUGUGUUUUGCGUGAGGGUUGUUAUUUUUCUCUCGGUGUCCCCUUUUUCAGUUUCUUCUCCCUUCACCCUCUCUUGUCCUAUAGAAGAUCUUGGAGUUUUGUGAGUCCCUCGUAAUAGGCCUCUAAUUCAAAUUAUUCUACACCACUAUGAACACUAUGGUGUGCUGUAACACUAGAUGCUAUCUUUUGAGGAAGCUUUUCAAAAUAGAAGUGGCGGUAGUUUACUCGAUACAUGGGCAAUGGCUACCUGGAAAAAGGAAAAUUGUGAAUUUAGAGCUAGGUGUGCAAGUAUGGACUUGCACAAAGUUAGAGGUUAACCAUGCCCAAUGAUGUUAUGAGAACCUUUUGCCUACAGUCCAAUCCUUCUGAGAACUAGGGAGUGCAACUCAGAUGGCUUGAUCAUAAUUUUAUAAGCUUGGGUUUAGGUUGUGUGAGGUCUGACUGGGUUGAAUGGGAUUGGGUCUACGACAUGUUCCAGUACUAAAGAAUAAAGAUCAGAAGGAUUAGCCUUCCCUAAUAUAUAUGUAAUCCUCCCAUUCAAAUCAAGAUGUUUCUAAUUACUGAGAUGCAUUCGGCAGCCUUGUGGGAUCCCUAAAUAAGAUACCCUUAUCAAUUGCUGGCAUCCUUCUUUUCAAGGUGCCUACCAGUUUGGAGAACUCUGCGAGCAUCCUUUUUGGUAAACCUUCUGUCGUUUCAUUGGCUUGACAAUGGACAUUCCUCCACCGACCAUAAAAAACUCAAGCUUCAAUCAAAUGUUUGAGGUCGUCUAGCAGGAGUGUUUUUUGAAAGGGCCAAAAUGCGCGAGAGAUCUCAAGCCUGAGACUUUAAUUAGAACUGCAGUGUAUUUUUACUCUGGCUUGUUCUGUAACUAAAAACUGGCAGCUUAGUUAUGCAUCUGACAAGCAAGCAGUUUUCUCUGAAGAACACGGAGUUUCUUCCAUUUGGCUUUUGCUACAAGAGCACGUAAUGAAAAAAAUUACAAUUAUCUUUUUAUGCUCCUUAAAUAAUAGAGAGGUUAAUUGGAGUUGCAAACACAAGAAGUAAUUUACCACACUAUAUGGUCAUGCAUAUGUCUCUGUGGCAGACAUUAAUGAAAAUGAUUUCACGAUUAAAAAUUGUUAAUUCAUAAAUCACUUAUCAAAAAAUGGGGAUUCAUUUCUUUUCCCCGUGUUAUCUUUAUAGAGACAAAUUUUAAUCCAACUAUUUAUUGAAAAGAAGAAAAGCCACCCAAGAUCUGAUUGUAAACAAAGAUGGGUUUUUUUUUUUCUUCCUUUACUCUUUAUUCCAUUUCUUUUGUGUACUUGGUCAUUAGAUAUUGUGAAAAAUUCUAUCACAUGAUGGAUUAAGCAGAAUUGCCCUGAUAGCAAACCAUGUAAAUGACUACUCGGUGGUUAAUUGGAGGGUAUUCUAAUCACAUGGCUGUCGUCUGGGGGAAGUAUUUAUUUUUUUGCCUCUGAGCUUUUGGCUUUAGUUUUAAGGGCUGCUGUUUCUUUGGCGAUUGCCCUCAUAGUCCCCUCUUCCCUGAAAUUGGGCCGGAUGUUGGCUCUGGAAGGGUGGAGGACCUUGUAGUGCCGGAGUUGCUGCAGCCAGAUGACCUGAGGUGUACAACUCCCCCUUCAAGGUAGCAUAAAUCUCUCUCUCUCUCUCUCUCUCUCUCUCUCUCUCUCUCUCACACACACACACACACACACAAUUUGAGAGGGAGUGAGGUUUGCAAACAAAGAAUCAAUCGAAAUUGAUCGUGAUCUAGGGUUUUAAGGCUUUGGUUUAGAUUUGAGUAGAUUUGGACAAAUUUAUUUUGUUGGGAAUAUGGAUUUUUGGACUUUUGAUUUGAAUUUUUAUAAAUGUGGACAAAGUAGGGCAUAAAAUUGGAUUGACUUUCUUUCAAAUUAACACAAGUUAAAAAAAAAAAAGAGUUCGAAAUCUAUGUUUACAAACACUAUCUUAGUAUAAUUUUGUUUUAUAUUUUAUUUAAAUUUAUAUAAAUCUGAAUCUAAAGUUUGACAUUAAAGCUCCCAAAUAUACAAUAACUCAAUAAGUAUAAAGAGUUAUAUAAUUUGCUUUUUCUUUCCUUUAAAUUUGUUACAUUUCCUUAUGUUAGAUGAUUAUUUUGUGAUUGCAGGAAAGUUUGUAAAUUUUCUUUUUGACUUAAAUAUGUUACCAAUAUAUCUUUCUUCAAACCUAAAUUGACUCGAUGCCAAGGUCGGCUCUUCACAAUAUGGGGCCCUAGGCGAAUGAUUUAAUUAGGGGUCCUUAAUAUUUUGUUUAAUUUUUAUUUAUUUUUAAAAUUAAUUUUUGUAAUUUUUUGAGAUGCAAAAUCACUAGUUAAAGUUUUAUAUUAAAGAUUAUAUUAAGACUUGAAAAAGAGAGAAUUAAAUUAUAUUUACUUUACUUUUUAAAAUACAAUUUCAUUUACUUUUUGAGAUAGUGGGAAAGUCAAUGUAUUGGAAGAGAUGAUAUCAGAAAUAAUGUUAAUAUUAAAAAAAAAUUGUGAGCCCCAACUUUUGUGGAAAAAUUAAUAUAUAUAAAGAGAUGGUAUCAUAAAUAAUGUUAAUAUUAAAAAAUAAAAUUUGGGAGUUCCAAAAAUUUUGAGGCCCUAUGCAAACUGCUCAAUGGCCUUACGGUCAAGCCGGCGAUGCCAAUCUAAGCUAUUGCUUCUCAUAAAUUCUAAUGACGAAAACAUGUGAAGAGGCAUCUGUGAGUAAAAUUUAUUUUGCUUAGGGUCUAUUUGGUAUAGUUAUUAUUUUUUAUUUUUUUAUUUUACUUCUCCACAGUGAAAAAAUAGAUUAUAAAAUACGUUUAUUUGGAUUAAAUUAUUAAUUUUAUAUACUUUUAAAUUAAAAGAAAAGAUACAUAAAUUUCAAAAAUAUAAAAAUAAAGCAUUUUUAUUAUUUUUUAGUUGUCAUGUUCAAUAAAAUUUUUAUUGCAAAAUAAAUCUUGAAAGUAGAACAAUUAAGUAAAAUAAUUAUAAUAAAUUUUGAAAGUAGAACGUAAAAUAAUUAUAAUAAAUUAAGCACUUUUAUUGUCCGUCCGAUGUCAUUUCUUGCUCGCUCAAUCGUUUGGAAUCGCCCAAAGAAGACCACUUGCUUGAGUCAUCGUGCCAACACAGAGGUCGGGGGUAUCAAAAAACAAAGGAGAACAAUUCUCUGCAGCGGCAACGAUCGAACGAUCCCUCUCCCUCUGUAAACGACGCCCUUCUGAAGCAUCGCAGACUCCCACCCGGCUUUCUUUUGUUCUCAGGAAGCAGACAGAGAGUCCCUCAUCCGAAGAUAGGAUUUUUGAAAUCUGAUUUCAGAUUGUAUUGAUAUAGGCGAAAUUGAUCGUGAUCUAGGGUUUUAAGGCUUUGGUUUAGAUUUGAGUAGAUUUGGACAAAUUUAUUUUGUUGGGAAUAUGGAUUUUUGAACUUUUGAUUUGAAUUUUUAUAAAUGUGGACAAAGCAGAGCAUAAAAUUGGAUUGACUUUCUUUCAAAUUAA